GAUGAACGCUGGCGGCGUGCCUAAUACAUGCAAGUCGAGCGAACAGACGAGGAGCUUGCUCCUCUGACGUUAGCGGCGGACGGGUGAGUAACACGUGGAUAACCUACCUAUAAGACUGGGAUAACUUCGGGAAACCGGAGCUAAUACCGGAUAAUAUAUUGAACCGCAUGGUUCAAUAGUGAAAGACGGUUUUGCUGUCACUUAUAGAUGGAUCCGCGCCGCAUUAGCUAGUUGGUAAGGUAACGGCUUACCAAGGCAACGAUGCGUAGCCGACCUGAGAGGGGGAUCGGCCACACUGGAACUGAGACACGGUCCAGACUCCUACGGGAGGCAGCAGUAGGGAAUCUUCCGCAAUGGGCGGAAGCCUGACGGAGCAACGCCGCGUGAGUGAUGAAGGUCUUCGGAUCGUAAAACUCUGUUAAUAGGGAAGAACAAAUGUGUAAGUAACUAUGCACGUCUUGACGGUACCUAAUCAGAAAGCCACGGCUAACUACGUG
This 497-nucleotide ribosomal RNA is filed under the name uncultured bacterium. RNAcentral's name for it is "partial 16S ribosomal RNA". It matches the Rfam family "Bacterial small subunit ribosomal RNA", at positions 28 to 507 of the family's 1533-position model. The record is from RNAcentral.